Molecule: ribosomal RNA, 16 nt
Filed under: Colletotrichum truncatum
Lineage: Eukaryota; Fungi; Ascomycota; Sordariomycetes; Glomerellales; Glomerellaceae
Description: partial 28S ribosomal RNA
Source: RNAcentral
UAUCUUUAACUUCAAA